RNAcentral lists this ribosomal RNA (774 nucleotides) under uncultured Neocallimastigales. Its description in RNAcentral is "partial large subunit ribosomal RNA". It matches the Rfam family "Eukaryotic large subunit ribosomal RNA", at positions 24 to 644 of the family's 3401-position model. The record is from RNAcentral. Lineage: Eukaryota; Fungi; Neocallimastigomycota; Neocallimastigomycetes; Neocallimastigales.
UAUCUCUGUAGAGUCUGCAUAUCAAUAAGCGGAGGAAAAGAAACUAACAAGGAUUCCCUUAGUAACGGCGAGUGAAGCGGGAAGAGCUCAAAUUUGAAAUCUUCAAGGUUCUACCUUGACGAAUUGUAGUUUAAAGAAGUGUUUUCUGUUAGAUGAGUAGCAAAAGUUCCUUGGAAUGGGACAUCAUAGAGGGUGAGAAUCCCGUAUUUGGUUAUUCAUUCUAGCUUUGUGAUACACUUUCAAAGAGUCGGAUUGUUUGGGAAUGCAGUCCAAAAUGGGUGGUAAAUUUCAUCUAAAGCUAAAUAUUGGCGAGAGACCGAUAGCGAACAAGUACCGUGAGGGAAAGAUGAAAAGAACUUUGAAAAGAGAGUUAAACAGUACGUGAAAUUGUCAAAAGGGAAGCGUUUGACACCAGUGUUGUUUUUCCGAAAAUCAAUUACGAAUGGCUUGAUUUUGUGUUGUAUUGACCUUAUCAGCUUUCUGCACUUUUUUCGAGUCUUUCUUAAUGCACUUUUCGGUUAACAAGUCUACAUCAAUUUCUUUUGUUGUAAAAGAGUAUUCGGAAGGUGGCUUUCUUUUCGGAGAAAGUGUUUAUAGCCCUAUACUUCUACAAUCGGAGAGAUUGAGGUCUGCAGCGUAGAUCCUUCGGGGUUAGAUACAUUUGUGCUAAGUUGUAGCUUUUCAUAGACAACUUGUUGACUAUGUUUAGUCAUGCGGCUUACUCGCUUAUGUUAUUUUACCUACGCUUAGGAUGUUGACUGAUAUGUAGUCGUA